GUAACAUAGUGAAUGCCGAACAACAGGAAUUGGAUGAUGAUGGACAAGGGAACCAUGUGAAUGCCGAACAACUGGAUUUGGAACGUGAGCAGCAGGUUGACCCAGCUAAUUACCAGGGCCCUACUCCUGGGGAAUCUAGUGAAUGCUGAACAACUGGAAUUGGACCACUAUGG
Molecule: long non-coding RNA, 173 nt
Organism: Anguilla anguilla (European eel)
Lineage: Eukaryota; Metazoa; Chordata; Actinopteri; Anguilliformes; Anguillidae
Exons: 3
Source: RefSeq, a predicted model, not a curated record